CCUACGGGAGGCAGCAGUGAGGAAUAUUGGUCAAUGGGCGCGAGCCUGAACCAGCCAAGUAGCGUGAAGGAUGAAGGCGCUACGCGUUGUAGACUUCUUUUGUCGAGGGAUAAAGUGAGGCACGUGUGCCGUUUUGUGUGUAUUUUGUGAAUAAGGAUCGGCUAACUCCGUGCCAGCAGCCGCGGUAAUACGGAGGAUGCGAGCGUUAUCCGGAUUUAUUGGGUUUAAAGGGAGCGUAGGGGGGUUCUUAAGCCAGUCGUGAAAGUUUGGGGCUCAACCGUAAAAGUGCAAUUGAGACUGGCAGCCUUGAGUACAGUCGAGGCAUGCGGAAUGCGCGGUGUAGCGGUGAAAUGCUUAGAUAUCACGAAGAACCCCGAUUGCGAAGGCAGCCUACUAAGCCGCCACUGACGCUGAGGCACGAAAGCGCGGGGAUCAAACAGGAUUAGAUACCCGAGUAGUC
Molecule: ribosomal RNA, 460 nt
Filed under: uncultured bacterium
Lineage: Bacteria
Description: partial 16S ribosomal RNA
Rfam family: Bacterial small subunit ribosomal RNA
Source: RNAcentral